GAACCUCUAAUGUGUGUGACCCCGCAGGUUCAAACCUAAGCUGGUAGCACAGGAACCAAUUCCUGUACUAAUCGAAGUGACCAUCUAGCAAUGGUACCCAAUGAUCGGAUAGGUCGAAUGGUCGCAAUCGCAACACUCAGAACCUUUGUGAAUAUGGUUAUUGUAUAAUUCAUCCUUUUGACCUCUGUGUUUAGGAUGACACCGGGUUAAACUGUCAACCCUGAUCAGAUCAUCCGAAUCGUGCUCAACUCAAACAGUCCUGUGACUCCUCACAAGGACUACCCUGGCCAAGAUUUUGCUAAAUUAAAACACG
RNAcentral lists this long non-coding RNA (313 nucleotides) under Elaeis guineensis (African oil palm). RNAcentral describes it as "long non-coding RNA (EGUI_LNC073838)". Lineage: Eukaryota; Viridiplantae; Streptophyta; Magnoliopsida; Arecales; Arecaceae. The record is from RNAcentral.